CUGGCAGAUAGUGGCUGUGAUCUGGAGUUGUGUGCUGGGUGGGUCUGAUAAGAGUUCAUAACUUGAACUAGGUUAAGGCUGAAAGCAGAACUCAAUGCUUUAAGGAGGUAGUUUUCUGGAAGAAUAAGGCAAGGUGGGAGUGGAGAAUGGUGAGUGAAGCCCAGGGAAGCCAGCACACCCAGACUUGCUGCUUGCAGACCAUCCAUUAAAUAUUAUUUAUUAGUUAUUUAUUUCAAAUGAUUUAUACACGGCUUGUUUUAAAAAAAAAACAUUCAAAGGGGUUUACAACCAGAUAAAACAAUAAAAUCAAAUAUGUAUUCACACAAUCCUUAAUCAAGCAGUGCCCAGAGGUGGAUAACUUGUGGUCCCUCAGGAAAGAUGCUGGACUACUAUGAAUUCUUAAGACUAGGCCAGGCACACUCUUGAUUUUGAAUAUGCUGUUUGUGCAUAUUGCCUGCAUAUUACAGGUGAUGGUGGUGGCGUUUGUCACAUUGGAAACAUUCUCUCUCUCCCCCUACCUAAAAAUAAAUGCCCCAGCAUUUGUUAAGGAGUUUCUUACCAGUGAUGAGGUUAUGAAACAAUGAUUUGUUUUUCACCCAGACAGUUGCAUAGUUAUGAAGACAAUCCCUUUUCCAUCUCUACAAAUUAUUUUGUUACUUUCCUGGCUUGGGUAUUUUACCUGUAUGCUAAUGAUGACUGGGAUAUGGGUAAUAAGGUGGAGAGGCCGUCAUCUUUCUAGCAAGCAAGUUAAUUCAAUUUAGGCUUGGCUGAUUUUGCAGCCUCUGGCAAUUUCACUUUAGCCAUCUCGGUGUGUGUGUUGUUUUUUUUUAAAAAAUAUUUUAUUAAGGAUUUUCUUGUUUUACAGAAGUGUAGUGCCUCGUAUUUUUUUUUUCAUGUAACAUUUUUACAAAUCCGUUUCAUUUGUUGAGGCAUUAGGGGGAGAAGAAAAAAAAAAGAAAAAAGAAAAAAGGGGGGUGGAUAGAGGGAAGAUGGGUGGGGGUGGGGUCAGGUGGCGGUGUUUCUAGUAUGUUUAAUGUAUGUAGAGUUUGGUGUCAGCGUUGCUUGUGUUGUUCACUUGUGUUCCUUUGGUGGUGAGAGAGGUUGGGGUUGGCCUAGGGUGUGAUUGUUUGCUUGUGAUUGGCUGUGGUGAUCUUUGUUUUCGUGUGUGAGUGAGGUGGGUGGGUGUUUUGGAUCAGGUUAGCCAUAUUGAUUUGUAUGCUGUUGGUGGAUUAUUGUCAUUGUCCUGUUGGGCUGUGUAUGUGAUAAAUGGGAGCCAUACCGGGGUGAAGGCGUCUUCUUGACAACCUGACAGCAGUGCUUCGGUGUACAGAGACACAGCAAAACCAAGAAUCACUGUGCAUGGCAUUUGUUUGGAGGGUGCUACUGAAAAUGUUGUACAUUUAGAAAAGUAUAUGCUGUUUGGAUUUCCAUUCUUAAAUCCACUGUGUGAGAUCAGGGGAGGGAGAGGCGCAGAAAAUAGGAAAGUUCCUAUUGGUGGUGAUGUCAGAGAAUCCCAACAAAAAUGGAAACAGAAGCAGCAAACAUAUCUACCUUCUGCCCCAUUUAUAUGCAGAGGAAGGUGAUGGAGGGCUGGUGAAGGACCCUGUGUGAGAGGCAGGGAAGGGAAGAUCUCCCAGUUAGGAAGGCUGAGAGAAGAAAGGGAAGCUCCCAGGUGAGAGCUGGAAGGAUCUACCUCUUUCUGUGUGAGACAAGGGUUAAGAUCUACUUUUGAGAGAGGACCUUGCAUUUUUCUUCCUUUUCCCAGCCAGUGUGGUGUAGUGGUUAAGAGCGGUAGACUCGUAAUCUGGUGAACCGGGUUCGCUUCCCCGCUCCUCCACAUGCAGCUGCUGGGUGACCUUGGGCCAGUCACACUUCUCUGAAGUCUCUCAGCCCCACUCACCUCACAGAGUGUUUGUUGUGGGGGAAGAAGGGAAAGGAGAAUGUUAGCUGCUUUGAGACCCUAGGGUAGUGAUAAAGCGGGAUAUCAAAUCCAAACUCUUCUUCUUCUUCCUUUUUCUGUUUUCAUUUAGAUUAGCUUGGUUUUUUAAAUUAUAUUACCUUAUGUAAAACCUCAAUAAAAUCUUAUUUUUAAAAAAAUUAA
This 2101-nucleotide long non-coding RNA is filed under the name Podarcis lilfordi (Lilford's wall lizard). The record is from RNAcentral. Lineage: Eukaryota; Metazoa; Chordata; Lepidosauria; Squamata; Lacertidae.